Molecule: long non-coding RNA, 231 nt
Filed under: Jatropha curcas
Lineage: Eukaryota; Viridiplantae; Streptophyta; Magnoliopsida; Malpighiales; Euphorbiaceae
Description: long non-coding RNA (JCUR_LNC001698)
Source: RNAcentral
AUGUUGGUUUGUCUCCUAAUUUACCUAACAAAAAUAUUAGGCUUAGCAAUUAACAUUUUCUUACAAACUUUAAUAACCAAAUCAAAUUUUGAAAAAUCAUUUAUCCUAGAACUUAACACAAAAAUAACCGACUAACAAUCUAUAAAAAUACAUCUAGCAAAAGUAGUGUUAUCUUUGAGCCAUGAGAGACAUUCUCUAAGAGUUAAAGCUUCCACAAGGAUAGGAUCUCUA